UACGGAGGGUGCGAGCGUUAAUCGGAAUUACUGGGCGUAAAGCGCACGCAGGCGGUUUGUUAAACUAGAUGUGAAAGCCCCGGGCUCAACCUGGGAUGGUCAUUUAGAACUGGCAGACUAGAGUCUUGGAGAGGGGAGUGGAAUUCCAGGUGUAGCGGUGAAAUGCGUAGAUAUCUGGAGGAACAUCAGUGGCGAAGGCGACUCCCUGGCCAAAGACUGACGCUCAUGUGCGAAAGUGUGGGUAGCGAACAGG
Molecule: ribosomal RNA, 253 nt
Filed under: uncultured bacterium
Lineage: Bacteria
Description: partial 16S ribosomal RNA
Rfam family: Bacterial small subunit ribosomal RNA
Source: RNAcentral